Molecule: unclassified non-coding RNA, 335 nt
Filed under: soil metagenome
Description: partial contains 5.8S ribosomal RNA, internal transcribed spacer 2, and large subunit ribosomal RNA
Rfam family: 5.8S ribosomal RNA (bases 1-120)
Source: RNAcentral
GAUGAAGAACGUAGCGAAAUGCGAUAAGUAAUGUGAAUUGCAGAAUUCAGUGAAUCAUCGAAUCUUUGAACGCACAUUGCGCCCAUUAGCAUUCUAGUGGGCAUGCCUGUUCGAGCGUCAUUUCAACCCUUAAGCCCUGUUGCUUAGCGUUGGGAGCCUACAGUACUGUAGCUCCCCAAAGUUAGUGGCGGAGUCGGUUUCACACUCUAGACGUAGUAAUUUUUUCUCGUCUGUAGUUGAGCCGGUCCCCUGCCGUAAAACACCCAAUUUAUCAAGGUUGACCUCGGAUCAGGUAGGAAUAACCGCUGAACUUAAGCAUAUCAAUAAGCGGAGGA